UAGGGAAUAUUGGACAAUGGGUGAGAGCCUGAUCCAGCCAUGCCGCGUGUGUGAAGAAGGUCUUCGGAUUGUAAAGCACUUUAAGUUGGGAGGAAGGGCAGUUACCUAAUACGUAUCUGUUUUGACGUUACCGACAGAAUAAGCACCGGCUAACUCUGUGCCAGCAGCCGCGGUAAUACAGAGGGUGCAAGCGUUAAUCGGAAUUACUGGGCGUAAAGCGCGCGUAGGUGGUUUGUUAAGUUGGAUGUGAAAUCCCCGGGCUCAACCUGGGAACUGCAUUCAAAACUGACAAGCUAGAGUAUGGUAGAGGGUGGUGGAAUUUCCUGUGUAGCGGUGAAAUGCGUAGAUAUAGGAAGGAACACCAGUGGCGAAGGCGACCACCUGGACUGAUACUGACACUGAGGUGCGAAAGCGUGGGGAGCAAACAGGAUUAGAUACCCCAGUAGUCCCUGAGCGGGCUGGCAAGGCGCAU
RNAcentral lists this ribosomal RNA (472 nucleotides) under uncultured bacterium. RNAcentral describes it as "bacterial SSU rRNA". It matches the Rfam family "Bacterial small subunit ribosomal RNA", at positions 355 to 825 of the family's 1533-position model. The record is from RNAcentral.